GGCAGUAGUGGCAGGGAGCUUACGGUGUUUACACUGAGGAAAGUCCGCCCACCCAAGAAAAGGUCACUUCCAGAAGGAAGACGGAGAAAUCCCGUGGCUCUGGUUUAGACACGACACGUCCUGCAGACAUGGGAAUGAUGAGACAUCCAGUAACAAAAGUUCAUAACAAACUUUUGGAACAGAAAAUCAGGAUAAAUAAUAUCAUUGAUUUUCUUGUAAUGGCGAAGCGUGUUGAAAAGCACGCGAGUUAAGUCUUUGACGCCUCUGCAGGGACCGAUGAAACGACGAAUUCCCUGAUCGGUGCAAGUCAGUAUGACGCUUAGUAGAAUGCUCCAACAGACUAUCGACAAGCAACGCUUGUUUUGGGUCUGACAGAAGGCGGCUUAUGUCACUCUGCC
RNAcentral lists this RNase P RNA (398 nucleotides) under archaeon. RNAcentral's name for it is "RNase P RNA component". It matches the Rfam family "Archaeal RNase P". From Rfam's summary of the family: Ribonuclease P (RNase P) is a ubiquitous endoribonuclease, found in archaea, bacteria and eukarya as well as chloroplasts and mitochondria. Its best characterised activity is the generation of mature 5'-ends of tRNAs by cleaving the 5'-leader elements of precursor-tRNAs. The record is from RNAcentral.